UAAGGACGGUGCCAGCCGCCGCGGUAAUACCGGCGCCUCAAGUGGUAGUCGCUUUUAUUGGGCCUAAAACGUCCGUAGCCGGUCUGAUACAUUCGUGGGUAAAUCAACCAGCUCAACUGGUUGAAUUCUGCGAGGACGGUCAAACUUGGGACCGGGAGAGGUGUGGGGUACGCUCAGGGUAGGGGUAAAAUCCUGUCAUCCUGAGCGGACCACCUGUUGCGAAGGCGCCACACUAGAACGGAUCCGACGGUCAGGGACGAAGCCUAGGGGCACGAACCGGAUUAAAUACCCGGGUAGUCCUAGGUGUAAACGCUGUGGACUUGAUGUUGGGGGUGCUCCGAGCACUCUCAGUGUCGAAGCGAAGGUGAUAAGUCCACUGCCUGGGAAGUACGGUCGCAAGG
Molecule: ribosomal RNA, 401 nt
Filed under: uncultured archaeon
Lineage: Archaea
Description: bacterial SSU rRNA
Rfam family: Archaeal small subunit ribosomal RNA
Source: RNAcentral